UCGGGAAUCUUGGACAAUGGGCGCAAGCCUGAUCCAGCCAUGCCGCGUGAGUGAAGAAGGCCUUCGGGUUGUAAAGCUCUUUUACCAGGGACGAUAAUGACGGUACCCGAAGAAGAAGCUCCGGCUAACUUCGUGCCAGCAGCCGCGGUAAUACGAAGGGAGCUAGCGUUGUUCGGAAUCACUGGGCGUAAAGCGCACGUAGGCGGAUAGUUAAGUCAGGGGUGAAAUCCUGGGGCUCAACCCCAGAACUGCCUUUGAUACUGGCUGUCUCGAGGUCGAGAGAGGUUGGUGGAAUUCCUAGUGUAGAGGUGAAAUUCGUAGAUAUUAGGAAGAACACCAGUGGCGAAGGCGGCCAACUGGCUCGAUACUGACGCUGAGGUGCGAAAGCGUGGGGAGCAAACAGGAUUAGAUACCCCCGUAGUCCCUGAGCGGGCUGGCAAGGCGCAU
Molecule: ribosomal RNA, 447 nt
Filed under: uncultured bacterium
Lineage: Bacteria
Description: bacterial SSU rRNA
Rfam family: Bacterial small subunit ribosomal RNA
Source: RNAcentral